GCACGCCAGUCCUCCCCAGCGUGCAAAAGUCCAUCCCAGUCGGCGCGCGGGCUGUCAGCAGCGUGGAUUAAAUGUAGCUCCGGCCGCGCUGGGGGAUGUUUUUCCGGACAGGGCACUCUGUAUGUAAAGGAAUUUCUGACGUUUGAGCCCGCGCCCGGGUGGCUUUGGGGCCUGUUUAUUCUAUACCAUAACGUCUCCAAGGACUCCCUGCCGAAAAAACAGGACAAACACUGUCUCAAAAACUCUAAGCCUCAAAAAGAGGAGCUGUGUUCCAGUACGUAAAACCCCGAUCCACUGUUACUGGCCUCGAAAGAGCAGGUGUUGAGGAUGAGCGACAGAGAUCAGCCCUCCACUAUGGGGCUGGCACCGAGGAAGGACCAAGCAGGAGGCCAACAGAAAACAAACACACGCACACACACACACAAAAUGAUCAAAAACAUUGGAAAUCUGAGCCUCGAGAAACAACAGUGGUGACUUUGAGAAGGUGAUAACCUCCCCUUAUUCUCACCUAUUCCAUCACGUCUCACCCUACACUGCCACUGGGAAAUGUGAGAAGAGAAGGGUGGCAAAGAAAGUGAAGGAACUGAAGUCCAGAAAAUUUAAGUAACUUGUCUAAAUACCUGCAGUCAUCCAGAGGUAGGGGAAACCCUGGAAUCCUGGUAGGUGAUUGGUGCCGUGUUCUUUACUCUAUAGCACAAUUCUUCUUCUCAGAGAAA
This is a long non-coding RNA of Aethalodelphis obliquidens (Pacific white-sided dolphin), 716 nucleotides long. RefSeq lists it as uncharacterized. Lineage: Eukaryota; Metazoa; Chordata; Mammalia; Artiodactyla; Delphinidae. The record is from RefSeq and is a predicted model, not a curated record. The transcript is spliced from 3 exons.